UACGUAGGGGGCAAGCGUUAUCCGGAUUUACUGGGUGUAAAGGGAGCGUAGGUGGCAAGGCAAGUCAGAUGUGAAAACCCGGGGCCCAACCCCGGGAGUGCAUUGGAAACUGGCAGGCUGGAGUGCCGGAGAGGCAGGCGGAAUUCCUAGUGUAGCGGUGAAAUGCGUAGAUAUUAGGAGGAACACCAGUGGCGAAGGCGGCCUGCUGGACGGUGACUGACGCUGAGGCUCGAAAGCGUGGGGAGCAAACAGG
This 253-nucleotide ribosomal RNA is filed under the name uncultured Lachnospiraceae bacterium. RNAcentral's name for it is "partial 16S ribosomal RNA". It matches the Rfam family "Bacterial small subunit ribosomal RNA", at positions 524 to 776 of the family's 1533-position model. The record is from RNAcentral. Lineage: Bacteria; Bacillati; Bacillota; Clostridia; Lachnospirales; Lachnospiraceae.